This 519-nucleotide ribosomal RNA is filed under the name Escherichia coli. RNAcentral describes it as "bacterial SSU rRNA". It matches the Rfam family "Bacterial small subunit ribosomal RNA", at positions 1014 to 1533 of the family's 1533-position model. The record is from RNAcentral. Lineage: Bacteria; Pseudomonadati; Pseudomonadota; Gammaproteobacteria; Enterobacterales; Enterobacteriaceae.
GUGCCUUCGGGAACCGUGAGACAGGUGCUGCAUGGCUGUCGUCAGCUCGUGUUGUGAAAUGUUGGGUUAAGUCCCGCAACGAGCGCAACCCUUAUCCUUUGUUGCCAGCGGUCCGGCCGGGAACUCAAAGGAGACUGCCAGUGAUAAACUGGAGGAAGGUGGGGAUGACGUCAAGUCAUCAUGGCCCUUACGACCAGGGCUACACACGUGCUACAAUGGCGCAUACAAAGAGAAGCGACCUCGCGAGAGCAAGCGGACCUCAUAAAGUGCGUCGUAGUCCGGAUUGGAGUCUGCAACUCGACUCCAUGAAGUCGGAAUCGCUAGUAAUCGUGGAUCAGAAUGCCACGGUGAAUACGUUCCCGGGCCUUGUACACACCGCCCGUCACACCAUGGGAGUGGGUUGCAAAAGAAGUAGGUAGCUUAACCUUCGGGAGGGCGCUUACCACUUUGUGAUUCAUGACUGGGGUGAAGUCGUAACAAGGUAACCGUAGGGGAACCUGCGGUUGGAUCACCUCCUUA